UACGUAGGGCGCAAGCGUUAUCCGGAAUUAUUGGGCGUAAAGAGCUCGUAGGCGGUUUGUCGCGUCUGCCGUGAAAGUCCGGGGCUCAACUCCGGAUCUGCGGUGGGUACGGGCAGACUAGAGUGAUGUAGGGGAGACUGGAAUUCCUGGUGUAGCGGUGAAAUGCGCAGAUAUCAGGAGGAACACCGGUGGCGAAGGCGGUAGUCUGGGCCGGUACUGACGCUGAGGAGCGAAAGCGUGGGGAGCGAACAGG
RNAcentral lists this ribosomal RNA (253 nucleotides) under uncultured bacterium. RNAcentral describes it as "partial 16S ribosomal RNA". It matches the Rfam family "Bacterial small subunit ribosomal RNA", at positions 524 to 776 of the family's 1533-position model. The record is from RNAcentral.